Molecule: ribosomal RNA, 551 nt
Filed under: uncultured bacterium
Lineage: Bacteria
Description: bacterial SSU rRNA
Rfam family: Bacterial small subunit ribosomal RNA
Source: RNAcentral
UAGGGAAUCUUCUNGCAAUGGACGGAAGUCUGACCGAGCAACGCCGCGUGAGUGAAGAAGGUUUUCGGAUCGUAAAGCUCUGUUGUAAGAGAAGAACGAGUGUGAGAGUGGAAAGUUCACACUGUGACGGUAUCUUACCAGAAAGGGACGGCUAACUACGUGCCAGCAGCCGCGGUAAUACGUAGGUCCCGAGCGUUGUCCGGAUUUAUUGGGCGUAAAGCGAGCGCAGGCGGUUAGAUAAGUCUGAAGUUAAAGGCUGUGGCUUAACCAUAGUACGCUUUGGAAACUGUUUAACUUGAGUGCAAGAGGGGAGAGUGGAAUUCCAUGUGUAGCGGUGAAAUGCGUAGAUAUAUGGAGGAACACCGGUGGCGAAAGCGGCUCUCUGGCUUGUAACUGACGCUGAGGCUCGAAAGCGUGGGGAGCAAACAGGAUUAGAUACCCUGGUAGUCCACGCUGUAAACGAUGAGUGCUAGGUGUUAGACCCUUUCUGGGGUUUAGUGCCGUAGCUAACGCAUUAAGCACUCCGCCUGGGGAGUACGACCGCAAGGUUG